GAUGAACGCUGGCGGCGUGCCUAACACAUGCAAGUCGAGCGAACGGACGAGAAGCUUGCUUUUCUCUUGUUAGCGGCGGACGGGUGAGUAACACGUGGAUAACCUACCUAUAAGACUGGGAUAACUUCGGGAAACCGGCGCUAAUACCGGAUAAUAUUUUGAUCUGCAUGGUUAAAAAGUGAAAGACGGUCUUGCUGUCCCUUAUAGAUGGAUCCCCGCUGCAUUAUCUAGUUGGUAAGUUAAAGGCUUACCAAGGCAACGAUGCCUAGCCGACGUGAGAGGGUGAUAGAGCACCUUGGAAGUGGCCCUCGCUCCAGACUACUGCGGGACGCUACAGUCAGGAACCGUCAGCAGUGGGCGCAAACCUGACACAGCAACGGGGCGUGAGUGAUGAGGGUGCUCGGAUCGUAAAACUCUCUUAGCAGGGAAGACCAUAUGUCUACGUAACUGUGCACAUCUUGACGGUACCUAGUCAGAAAGCCACGGCUAACUACGUG
This 497-nucleotide ribosomal RNA is filed under the name uncultured bacterium. Its description in RNAcentral is "partial 16S ribosomal RNA". It matches the Rfam family "Bacterial small subunit ribosomal RNA", at positions 28 to 507 of the family's 1533-position model. The record is from RNAcentral.